UUUGGUUAAGUUAGAAAGGGCGCACGGUGGAUGCCUUGACACUAGGAGUCGAUGAAGGACGGGACUAACGCCGAUAUGCUUCGGGGAGCUGUAAGUAAGCUUUGAUCCGAAGAUUUCCGAAUGGGGAAACCCACUAUACGUAAUGGUAUGGUAUCCUUACCUGAAUACAUAGGGUAUGGAAGACAGACCCAGGGAACUGAAACAUCUAAGUACCUGGAGGAAGAGAAAGCAAAUGCGAUUUCCUGAGUAGCGGCGAGCGAAACGGAAUCUAGCCCAAACCAAGAGGCUUGCCUCUUGGGGUUGUAGGACAUUCUAUACGGAGUUACAAAGGAACGAGGUAGACGAAGCGACCUGGAAAGGUCCGUCACAGAGGGUAAUAACCCCGUAGUCGAAACUUCGUUCUCUCUUGAAUGUAUCCUGAGUACGGCGGAACACGUGAAAUUCCGUCGGAAUCUGGGAGGACCAUCUCCCAAGGCUAAAUACUCCCUAGUGAUCGAUAGUGAACCAGUACCGUGAGGGAAAGGUGAAAAGCACCCCGGAAGGGGAGUGAAAGAGAUCCUGAAACCGUGUGCCUACAAAUAGUCAGAGCCCGUUAAUGGGUGAUGGCGUGCCUUUUGUAGAAUGAACCGGCGAGUUACGAUCCCGUGCGAGGUUAAGCUGAAGAGGCGGAGCCGCAGCGAAAGCGAGUCUGAAUAGGGCGUUUAGUACGUGGUCGUAGACCCGAAACCAGGUGAUCUACCCAUGUCCAGGGUGAAGUUCAGGUAACACUGAAUGGAGGCCCGAACCCACGCACGUUGAAAAGUGCGGGGAUGAGGUGUGGGUAGCGGAGAAAUUCCAAUCGAACCUGGAGAUAGCUGGUUCUCCCCGAAAUAGCUUUAGGGCUAGCCUUAAGUGUAAGAGUCUUGGAGGUAGAGCACUGAUUGAACUAGGGGUCCUCAUCGGAUUACCGAAUUCAGUCAAACUCCGAAUGCCAAUGACUUAUCCUUAGGAGUCAGACUGCGAGUGAUAAGAUCCGUAGUCAAGAGGGAAACAGCCCAGAUCGCCAGCUAAGGUCCCAAAGUGUGUAUUAAGUGGAAAAGGAUGUGGAGUUGCUUAGACAACUAGGAUGUUGGCUCAGAAGCAGCCACCAUUUAAAGAGUGCGUAAUAGCUCACUAGUCGAGUGACUCUGCGCCGAAAAUGUACCGGGGCUAAAUACACCACCGAAGCUGCGAAUUGAUACCAAUGGUAUCAGUGGUAGGGGAGCGUUCUAAGUGCAGUGAAGUCAGACCGGAAGGACUGGUGGAGCGCUUAGAAGUGAGAAUGCCGGUAUGAGUAGCGAAAGACGGGUGAGAAUCCCGUCCACCGAAUGCCUAAGGUUUCCUGAGGAAGGCUCGUCCGCUCAGGGUUAGUCAGGACCUAAGCCGAGGCCGACAGGCGUAGGCGAUGGACAACAGGUUGAUAUUCCUGUACCACCUCUUUAUCGUUUGAGCAAUGGAGGGACGCAGAAGGAUAGAAGAAGCGUGCGAUUGGUUGUGCACGUCCAAGCAGUUAGGCUGAUAAGUAGGCAAAUCCGCUUAUCGUGAAGGCUGAGCUGUGAUGGGGAAGCUCCUUAUGGAGCGAAGUCUUUGAUUCCCCGCUGCCAAGAAAAGCUUCUAGCGAGAUAAAAGGUGCCUGUACCGCAAACCGACACAGGUAGGCGAGGAGAGAAUCCUAAGGUGUGCGAGAGAACUCUGGUUAAGGAACUCGGCAAAAUGACCCCGUAACUUCGGGAGAAGGGGUGCUUUCUUAACGGAAAGCCGCAGUGAAUAGGCCCAAGCGACUGUUUAGCAAAAACACAGGUCUCUGCGAAGCCGUAAGGCGAAGUAUAGGGGCUGACACCUGCCCGGUGCUGGAAGGUUAAGGAGAGGGGUUAGCGUAAGCGAAGCUCUGAACUGAAGCCCCAGUAAACGGCGGCCGUAACUAUAACGGUCCUAAGGUAGCGAAAUUCCUUGUCGGGUAAGUUCCGACCCGCACGAAAGGUGUAACGAUUUGGGCACUGUCUCAACCAGAGACUCGGUGAAAUUAUAGUACCUGUGAAGAUGCAGGUUACCCGCGACAGGACGGAAAGACCCCGUGGAGCUUUACUGUAGCCUGAUAUUGAAUUUUGGUACAGUUUGUACAGGAUAGGCGGGAGCCAUUGAAACCGGAGCGCUAGCUUCGGUGGAGGCGCUGGUGGGAUACCGCCCUGACUGUAUUGAAAUUCUAACCUACGGGUCUUAUCGACCCGGGAGACAGUGUCAGGUGGGCAGUUUGACUGGGGCGGUCGCCUCCUAAAGUGUAACGGAGGCGCCCAAAGGUUCCCUCAGAAUGGUUGGAAAUCAUUCGUAGAGUGCAAAG
RNAcentral lists this ribosomal RNA (2356 nucleotides) under Bacillus sp. MYb209. Its description in RNAcentral is "bacterial LSU rRNA". It matches the Rfam family "Bacterial large subunit ribosomal RNA", at positions 1 to 2356 of the family's 2925-position model. Lineage: Bacteria; Bacillati; Bacillota; Bacilli; Caryophanales; Bacillaceae. The record is from RNAcentral.